UACGUAGGGGGCAAGCGUUGUCCGGAAUCAUUGGGCGUAAAGAGCGUGUAGGCGGCUCGGUAAGUCCGCUCUGAAAGCCCGGGGCUCAACCCCGGGAGGCGGGCGGAUACUGUCGGGCUAGAGUGCGGAAGAGGCGAGUGGAAUUCCUGGUGUAGCGGUGAAAUGCGCAGAUAUCAGGAGGAACACCAAUUGCGAAGGCAGCUCGCUGGGACGUAACUGACGCUGAGACGCGAAAGCGUGGGGAGCAAACAGG
RNAcentral lists this ribosomal RNA (253 nucleotides) under uncultured bacterium. RNAcentral's name for it is "partial 16S ribosomal RNA". It matches the Rfam family "Bacterial small subunit ribosomal RNA", at positions 524 to 776 of the family's 1533-position model. The record is from RNAcentral.